UGUAUUCUUCACUCCCUGCGGAAAAAUGCUUGGUGUUGGCGUGGUAAUCCAGGUGGGUAUAUAAAUGCAGUUUCUCGAAUCUUGCGUUGCAAUGCAGGUCUGAAAAUGCACCGCAGGGGGGAGCUGACAAACACAUCGUGAGACCACAUGAAGCUAAGUAACAUAUCUGUUAUUUAAAAUCCUUUACACUCCACAUUGUGGUUUUGAAUGCAUAUUUUUUGCUUUUGCAACUUUUUUUUUGUUUUUACAUGGUGUUUGGAAAAAAAAAUCUCUGCGUUAGAAACAAAUAAGCACAUAAUAUUUCAGAAAGAAAGAAGCCAAACAGCAGAAAAUAGAGGCUUUUGUUAGUUUUAGUCAUUGUAAAACCCCAGGCCAAGUCAGAAAUCAGUCAUAUUAGGUAGCUUGUUAGCAUAUGUCAUGCACAGCUUUUUUUGUAUUUGCAAGGCAAUGACUAGCAUGCAGCUCUAGCCUUUUCU
Pelobates cultripes (western spadefoot toad) is the source of this 476-nucleotide non-coding RNA. Lineage: Eukaryota; Metazoa; Chordata; Amphibia; Anura; Pelobatidae. The record is from the annotation of a GenBank genome assembly.